Biomphalaria pfeifferi is the source of this 264-nucleotide non-coding RNA. NCBI's taxonomy places the organism in Eukaryota, Metazoa, Mollusca, Gastropoda, Planorbidae. The record is from the annotation of a GenBank genome assembly.
GAACUAAAACCUGGAAUCAUUCCCUAGCGCACAAAACAACAUUUUAAAAGAUUCUAUUGUAUAUUAAAAAUCUCAAUGUAAACUUACAGCUGAUAUGAACAUUAAUGUAGAGCAUGCCAGUUUUAUGUUUGUAGUUGCACUGUUUCACAAUAGUUCUUGUCAAGUCAAGUGACUGACAUAAAGGAGACAAUAAUUAAGUUAUCAACUAUAAUAGUUUUAAUACACAUAUUAAUACACAUACCAUUAUCUGGCUAAAUGGACCCA